This 253-nucleotide ribosomal RNA is filed under the name uncultured bacterium. RNAcentral's name for it is "partial 16S ribosomal RNA". It matches the Rfam family "Bacterial small subunit ribosomal RNA", at positions 524 to 776 of the family's 1533-position model. The record is from RNAcentral.
UACGUAGGGGGCAAGCGUUAUCCGGAUUUACUGGGUGUAAAGGGAGCGUAGGUGGUUUGGCAAGUCAGAAGUGAAAACCCAAGGCUUAACCAUGGGAAUGCUUUUGAAACUGUCGAACUAGAGUGCUGGAGGGGUAAGUGGAAUUCCUAGUGUAGCGGUGAAAUGCGUAGAUAUUAGGAGGAACACCGGUGGCGAAGGCGGCUUACUGGACAGUAACUGACACUGAGGCUCGAAAGCGUGGGGAGCAAACAGG